Molecule: ribosomal RNA, 406 nt
Filed under: uncultured bacterium
Lineage: Bacteria
Description: partial 16S ribosomal RNA
Rfam family: Bacterial small subunit ribosomal RNA
Source: RNAcentral
AUUGAACGCUGGCGGCAGGCCUAACACAUGCAAGUCGAGCGAGCGGCGGACGGGUGAGUAAUGUCUGGGAAAAUGCCUGAUGGAGGGGGAUAACUACUGGAAACGGUAGCUAAUACAGCAUACCAUCAGAUGUGCCCCGAUGGGAUUAGCUAGUAGGUGGGGUAACGGCUCACCUAGGCGACGAUCCAUAGCUGGUCUGAGAGGAUGACCAGCCACACGGGAACUGAGACACGGUCCAGACUCCUACGGGAGGAAGCAGUGGGGAAUAUUGCACAAUGGGCGAAAGCCUGAUGCAGCCAUGCCGCGUGUAUGAAGAAGGCCUUCGGGUUGUAAAGUACUUUCAGCGGGGAGGCGUUACCCGCAGAAGAAGCACCGGCUAACUCCGUGCCAGCAGCCGCGGUAAUAC